Molecule: ribosomal RNA, 467 nt
Filed under: uncultured bacterium
Lineage: Bacteria
Description: partial 16S ribosomal RNA
Rfam family: Bacterial small subunit ribosomal RNA
Source: RNAcentral
GACGAACGCUGGCGGCGUGCUUAACACAUGCAAGUCGAACGAUGAAGCCCAGCUUGCUGGGUGGAAGAGUGGCGAACGGGUGAGUAACACGUGAGUAACCUGCCCUGAACUCUGGGAUAAGCACUGGAAACGGUGUCUAAUACUGGAUACGACCUAUCACCGCAUGGUGUGUGGGUGGAAAGAUUUAUCGGUUCUGGAUGGACUCGCGGCCUAUCAGCUAGAUGGUGAGGUAAUGGCUCACCAUGGCGACGACGGGUAGCCGGCCUGAGAGGGUGACCGGCCACACUGGGACUGAGACACGGCCCAGACUCCUACGGGAGGCAGCAGUGGGGAAUAUUGCACAAUGGGCGCAAGCCUGAUGCAGCAACGCCGCGUGAGGGAUGACGGCCUUCGGGUUGUAAACCUCUUUUAGUAGGGAAGAAGCGAAAGUGACGGUACCUGCAGAAAAAGCACCGGCUAACUACGUG